Pocillopora verrucosa is the source of this 286-nucleotide non-coding RNA. The record is from RefSeq and is a predicted model, not a curated record. NCBI's taxonomy places the organism in Eukaryota, Metazoa, Cnidaria, Anthozoa, Scleractinia, Pocilloporidae.
CUUGAGCCUGACAUGGAGGACACAGAGAAAGGGGAAGAAGAGGUUUUUGAUACCAGACUUUAGUUCUUGCUUUUCGAACCAAGAGACCGUAAGGACUGAAGAAGAGAAUUCAAGAAUUCAAGAAGAAAUGGAAUUCUAGUAAUCAUUAUGUAGUGUCUGUGGAAGUAUCUUAGUCAAAACAAUCCUUUUUGUUUAUUUUCCCUUCGAUAAAAUAAUAACAUAAGUUAGUUAGCUGAACUAUGGAUUGCAUAACAUGCUAUUGAACAUAUUGGGCGCUAUCUCUGAA